This 538-nucleotide ribosomal RNA is filed under the name uncultured soil bacterium. Its description in RNAcentral is "bacterial SSU rRNA". It matches the Rfam family "Bacterial small subunit ribosomal RNA", at positions 35 to 617 of the family's 1533-position model. The record is from RNAcentral.
GCUGGCGGCAGGCUUAACACAUGCAAGUCGAGCGGGCGUAGCAAUACGUCAGCGGCAGACGGGUGAGUAACGCGUGGGAACGUACCUUUUGGUUCGGAACAACCCAGGGAAACUUGGGCUAAUACCGGAUAAGCCCUUACGGGGAAAGAUUUAUCGCCGAAAGAUCGGCCCGCGUCUGAUUAGCUAGUUGGUGAGGUAACGGCUCACCAAGGCGACGAUCAGUAGCUGGUCUGAGAGGAUGAUCAGCCACAUUGGGACUGAGACACGGCCCAAACUCCUACGGGAGGCAGCAGUGGGGAAUAUUGGACAAUGGGCGCAAGCCUGAUCCAGCCAUGCCGCGUGAGUGAUGAAGGCCCUAGGGUUGUAAAGCUCUUUUGUGCGGGAAGAUAAUGACGGUACCGCAAGAAUAAGCCCCGGCUAACUUCGUGCCAGCAGCCGCGGUAAUACGAAGGGGGCUAGCGUUGCUCGGAAUCACUGGGCGUAAAGGGUGCGUAGGCGGGUCUUUAAGUCAGGGGUGAAAUCCUGGAGCUCAACUCCA